CAGGUCCAGAGCUGGGACUGGGUUCAGGUCGGGAUCUUUAGACUCGUUUUAAGACGUGGAUCGAGUCGGACCCAGUAUGUCCCCGGAGCUCACUGCAAGUCUGGUCUUCAGGGCUGUUCUGCCCCUCACUUUGGCUGCAGCCUGCGUGCUGCGCUUCAAUGGAUUCUCUGUGGUCUACGUCUUCCUGCUGCUGCUGCUGCCACUGCUGCCAGACACCUCCUCCUCUACAGGGAGCCUGAGUCGCUGCGUGACGGCCGUGUGCGUGUCCAGCUUCGUCUUCCUGUUACUGCAGGCCUCCUUCCAGCUGGGGACCAUCACGCUGCAGCCCACCUACAACUGUACGUCGUGGCAGAAGGUUGUGGGUCAGCUGGGCCUGGUGAGUCUGUCAGGAAGUGAUGCGGGCUCUGCCGUGAGGCAGGUGUGUCCUGAUGUGGGAGUGCUGGUUGUUGGUCUGCUGACGUGGAGGCUGCUCAGGAGACUGAACGCCAACAAACACACACAGCAGCAGCAGGAUGACGAGGACCAGGUGUUUGAGGAGGAGUCUGUGCUUGGAGAUGAAGAUCCAGAGGAAGAGGAGGAAGAGAAGGGACCCAGAAACAGGGCUCUGGUUGAACUGGAGUCGCUGGUUUGUAAGACCAGGCAGAUGCUGGGAAACAUGACUACAACUGGAGGAAAGGUCCUGCUGACAGCUCUGCUGGGACUCACAGGUAUCAUGGCUCCCUCCCUGCCCUCCCUUCUCUACCUGCUCUGUUUUCAGGUUUUGUGUACAUGGUGGGCAUGGGCGGGUCGGGUCCCGCCUCUGGUCUUUAGGUGCGUGUCUGUGAUGUCACUGGCCUACUCCUCCUCCCACUUCCUGCUCUUCUACUGCUACCAGCUGCCCUCACUGCAGGAGGCAUGGCCUCCGAACUCCACGUCCUCCAGUGCGUUGGGCCUGGUGUCUGUGGCAUAUGUGGACUGUGCUGCCCCCUGGAGGCUUCAAGUGAACCCCAAUCUCAGCUGGUUUCACUUCUGCAGCCCUUUGAUGCUGCUGCUCCUCUACCACACUGUGGCCAGUCUGUGGCGGAACCAGCUUAUUGACAGUGACCUUGUAGCAAGAGUGGAGUCGGCCAAGAGUGGGAGUUGUGACAUCAUCACUGCCACCAGCAUUCUGAGUGAAAAUCUUAGCGAGGACCUCACAGCAGAGAGGAGGAGAGAGCUCUGGAGGAGAGACCACGAUCGCCCCGAGUGCUCAGACGUGCUUUGGUCAUCGUCCAAUGACAGUCCCUCUCACUCAUUGGCCCCGCCCACCCAGAGCACUGCCCUUGGACUGGAUGAUUACGUCACACCUCACUACUCUUUUAGUCAAUCAGACACCUUGGAGACAUGCGCCUGGGAGGAGGAGGGGGAUGCACAAGUGAGGGCAGUAACCGAGGAGGGAGGGGUCAGCGCUGCCUCCUUGGCCUUCAGCUUCCUUCUCAAACAGAGCUACAUCUGUGCUCUGGUUUCAAUGAUGGCCUGGUCUAUCACCUAUGUGUCCUGGCCCACAUGUGUGCUGCUUCUGUGGUCAUGUGUCCUGUGGAUGAUGCGAGAGCGUCGCCGGUACACACUGAUGUCAUCGCCCUGGCUGGUUGCCUAUGGCAACCUGCUGCUGAUUCUGCAGUAUGUGUACAGCUUCCCGUCUAUACAGGAAGUUCCUGGACUGUUUCCAGAGAAGGAUGACCCCUGUCGGGAGCUCGCCUCUAAGUUGCUGUGUCUGUUGACUUUCUGGCUGCUCCUGCGUCAAGCACUGACGGAGAAGAGAGACAGACAGAGCGAUACAUAUGUGUCUACCAUCACUGUCCAGACACAAGAGGGUCAGGGAGUGGAUUUGGACCUGCAGACGAAGGUGGAGGAGGUCUCGUAUGAGGAAGUGCUGCUUCUGGGUGGUGGAGGCAGUGGUAUUCAGAUGGAGGCUCUGGUUGCUGUGGUAACCAGGAUGUUUGUGAAAUACUGGAUCUACGUCUGUGGAACCAUGUUUUUCUUUGUCAGCUUCGAGGGGAAGAUUGUCCUGUACAAGGUCAUCUACAUGGUCCUCUUCCUGUGCUGCGUGGCGCUGUACCAGUGUGAUGGGCCUGUGGGUAUUCACUGGAUCCAUGUCUUCACUGCAGACACAGCUCACCUGUUGAACUACGAGCGCUGGCGUGCCUGGCUUAGGGGAUUCUGGGUAGCUGUGGUGGUCUACUCCAUGCUGGUUCUGAUCCUGAUCUAUACCUUCCAAUUUCCCUCAUCCCCCGAUACAUGGAGCUACUACACCGGGCUCAGCAUGCGCAGGUUGGAGGACGUUGGUUUGGAGAAGUUCUCAGUUCCAGUUCUGUUCACCAGGAUCUUCAUUCCUGCUGCGUUUUUACUGGUGUGUAUCGUCCAUCUGCAUUAUUUCCACAAGCCUUUUCUCCAACUGACCGACCUGAAGACCGUGGUGGACACACACAACAGCACCAUCACCAGAUUGGUGCACUCUGAUGGCAGCCUGGCCGAUCUGUCAGAAGCUCCUCAGCUCCUCGCGGAACGAGAGCAGGAGGUCCAGAAGGAGAAGGCAGAGACAGAGGAGAAGUGCAUCAAGGAGGAAAGCGAGGAGUACUCCAGUGUGUUCGACAGGGAAACGGUGUCUGAUUGCAUAACAGCGCUGGUCUCGUGGAGGCUGGUGGUGGAUCGUCUGUCUGUCCUGUUCCUCCGCCUCCUCCUGUCCCUGCAGCGCCUGCAGUGUCUGCUCUGGUGGCUCCUGGAGCUGCACAUUGUAAAGAUUCUGUCCUUCUACAUCAUCUGGGUCUCAGUCAAGGAGGUUUGCCUCUUUAACGUGGUCUUCGUGCUGUGUGUGGCCGUGGCUCUGUCCUGCAGGGCAUGGCGCCCCCUGUCCUCAAGCAUCUGCACCGUGUGGACUUGUGUGGUCAUCGUCUGUAAAAUGCUCUACCAGCUUAAUGUCGUCCAGCCAAUCGUAUAUUCCUCCAACUGCACCAUGCCAGGUAACGCCACCUCUGAUCUGUCGGGCUCCAUUCUGUACACGGGUCCUAUCGAUCCGGCCCGGUGGGUGGGGCUCCACAAGACAGAUGGGAAACUACUCGACUACCUGAGGUAUAAUCUGAUGAUGUUGGCCCUCUUGGCGUUUGAGGUGACCAUUUACCGACACCAGGAACUCUAUCGUCUCCGUCGUAAUGAAGUCCCACCCCUCACAAGAACACUGUUUUGUGACAUCAGCAGGCUGCACCUUGACAAAAGUGUGUUAAGCUGCGUGAAAUACUUUCUGAAUUACUACUUCUACAAGUUUGGGCUGGAGACCUGCUUCCUGUUGGCAGUGAAUGUGAUUGGUCAGCGAAUGGAUCUGUUUGCCGUAGGCCACGCCUUUGGCCUCAUCACCAUCCUGUUGCAUCGCAGCAGAACGCGCAUUGCCUGUGUGUGGCCCAGGUACUGCUACUUUCUGUCGGCCAUGGUGUGCUUUCAGUACCUGCUGUGCAUUGGAUUCCCUCCAGCUGCCUGUAAAGAUUAUCCAUGGAGACAUCCGUCAUUUAAUGUGGACUCAAACCUAGUGAAGUGGCUCUUCCUCCCUGAUUACUUGACCCCUCCCAACCCACUCUUCCUUCUUUAUGAUUUCUUCCUCCUCCUUGGUGCAUCACUGCAGCUGCAGGUAUUUGAGGAGGAACGUCUCCCAUCGGUUCAGAUUCUUGCAGGUGAUAACAGUGAGCUCCAUGAAAAUGAAGGAGAGGUCUGUGAUACUAUCACACAGCUCCGUCUCAACAUAAUUCCCGACUUCAUGUUGUGCAGGUCUUACCUGGACAUGAUGAAAGUCAUCAUCUUCAGCUAUAUGUUCUGGUUUGUCCUCACCAUUAUCUUCAUCACUGGAACCACCAGGAUCAGUAUCUUUUGUAUGGGUUACCUGGUGGCCUGUUUCUAUUUCCUGUUGGUGGGUGGAGACCUACUGCUAAAACCCGUUAAGUCCAUCUUGGUGUACUGGGACUGUUUGAUUGGUUACAAUGUGUUUGUCAUCACUAUGAAGAAUAUUCUGUCGAUCCUGGCCUGUGGUUUCAUCAAGUCACUGGUGUUAAAUCACUGUUGGUUGAUUCAGCUCUUCAGUCUGGCCUGCACCAUCAAAGGCUACACCAAACCGGAGCAGCAGAGCAGUAAACAGUGCGAGCUGCCGAGUGAUGAGGCAGGAAUCAUUUGGGACGGCGUCUGCUUCUGCUUCCUGUUGCUUCAGCGGAGAGUGUUCAGGAGUCAGUACUUCCUGUAUGUGGUGCUGGACCUGCAGAACACACAACUUCUGGCCUCCAGGGGAGCUGAGCUCUUUGAGGCUUCUACGGUCAAAGCUGUGAGAGCAAGACUGGAGGUUGAGAAGACAUCAAUGGAUCUUCUGAAGAGACAGAUGGAGAGGAUCAAAUCCCGACAGCAGAAAUUCCGGCGAGGAAAAGAGAACAUGUUGAGUUUGACCCAAGACAGCAGCUUCCUUGUUGAGGGGCAGGGAAUCAAGAAGGGUCAACAGCAGAAGGAGUGGUGGAGGCCUUGGGUAAACCAUGCAUCCAUGGUGAGGAGUGGGGAUUAUUACUUGUUUGAGACAGACAGCGAGGAGGAAGAUGAUGAGAAAAAAGAGGAGGAUGAAAACAAGGAGAAGGAACGUCCUGAGAAAUCAGCCUUUCAGUUUGUCUACCACGCUUGGAUAACAGACUCCAGAACUGCAAUGAGAGCUCGCAGCAGCCACAAGAAGCUGUGGAAAAGCAACUCAUCUGAACGAAAAAGCCGAAAGGAGAAGAAGGGUGAAGAAGGAGUAAUUGAGGCAACGGAGGAAGAGGAAGAGGAGGACGGAGAGGAGGAAGAAAAAGAGGAGGGACCAGAGACGGCACUGCGUCGCUUCUCCAACACACUGCGCUUCUGUUGGGUUCUGCUGUCAGCCCUGCUGGACUCUCUGACCGCAUGGCUCAGCAGCUUGUGUCAGGAACACGUGGAUAUCUCCACUGUGCUCCGCAUUGAGAGGUGCAUGCUAACGCAGCAGGCCAAACAGGGUAAUGUACCAACUAGAGAGGCAAUAAACAUUUUCUAUCAAGAGCAAAUGAUGAAAACCUCCAGGGAGUCAGGGCCAGGCUCCAUUACACGGGGGGCAGAGGACCAGGCCUCCGCAAACAGACAGAGGGAGCAAAAGGAGGGUGGACCAGAACAAGAUCCUGGAGGAGAUCCAGCUAAAGCAGAACCAGCACCAGGGGAAGGUGGAGCUGACACCACAGACCAGCCUCCUCAUGAGGCUCCAGGCUCGGGAAUUAAACUGGAAACAGGAUUAACAGAAGGAAACCCAUCAGCAGAACAAUGUCCAGAAUGCAAUGUGGCCACAACCAGUCACCGACCACGACCCAAGCUGGCGAGGGCGGAGAGAGUCCAGUCUUCAUCAUCUUCAUCCUCAGAGGGAGAAUCGUGCUGCAUUGAGGGAGAACCAGAUCUACCUCUUCUCGACACACAGCUGACUCAUCCCCUGACCAGCGCCUCCUCCCCUGCUUCUCACUGCUCGCUGCACCUCCCACCAUCCUACAGCCUCGCUCUGGGUCUGGACCUCCAGGCAGGUGAGGAGGAACAUACGUCCGGGUUCAGGAAAAGAAUGCUGUCCCACGCUCAGGGUGACAGUGAAAGUGACAUUCUGCCUGACUCUGCCUCCGCAUCCUGCCCACUGGCAUCUCGAACUCAGGAGCUGACAGCAAGCGAGCUGCUGAGGAACAGAGCCUUCUACAAUGACGAACUGGAUGCAUCCGACCGUUUCUAUAGGAACCAGCCACAGCUUCUUCAGCUGUGCUAUGCCCUAUACAACAUCCUGGCAGCCAGGUCGGAGACUGUGUGUUACCUGGUCAUCGUACUGAACCACAUGGUGUCAGCCAGCUGUCUCACUCUGGUUCUCCCAGUGCUGGUGUUUCUGUGGGCCAUGUUGUCGGUCCCUCGACCCAGUAAGACCUUCUGGAUGACAGCCAUCAUCUACACUGAGGUCACCAUUGUCAUCAAGUACUUCUUCCAGUUUGGUUUCUUUCCCUUCAACCAGAAACUGGAACUGGACCGAUCCAAACCGUUCCACCCUCCCAACAUCCUGGGGGUGGAGAAAAAAGAAGGCUACGUCUUAUAUGACCUGCUGCAGCUACUCGCUUUGUUCUACCACAGAGCCAUACUCAAGUGUCAUGGACUGUGGGAUCAUAGCAUUACCAAGGAGGCAGAUGUGGCCCACCAUGGUGACAUUCAGGCUGAGUGUUGCCCCAGGGCCACCUACAUGGAUGUAGUAGAGCCCUCCACUGUGCUACGACGGCGAGGCAGGAAACGCACGCGCUCCAACUCCACCCAGCUGCGCUCUCCUGCAGGAAGCGUGAGCUCCAGACCUCAGCAGCCAACCAGGGUCCAUCUGCUCCUGGGCAAACUCAGAGAGCUGUCCAUCCGAGCCAAGGUGUACUCCAUUGACAGGUGUAUGUCUGUGUACUGGCCCAUCUGCCACUUCUUCAGAGCUCUAGUCCAGCCAGAAUACAGUGCUGUCACUGAUGUCUACGUCCUCAUGUUCCUUGCUGACACAGUCGACUUCAUCAUCAUCGUCUUCGGCUUCUGGGCCUUUGGAAAACACUCUGCAGCUGCUGACAUCACUUCCUCUCUAUCAGAAGAUCAAGUUCCUCAAGCAUUUUUGGUCAUGGUCCUGAUUCAGUUUGGGACCAUGGUGAUUGACCGAGCUCUGUAUUUAAGGAAGACUGUUUUGGGGAAGCUGGUGUUCCAGGUUAUUCUGGUAUUUGGAAUUCACUUCUGGAUGUUUUUCAUCCUGCCAACAGUCACUGAGAGGCGUUUCAACCAGAACCUGGUGGCUCAGCUCUGGUACUUUGUGAAGUGUGUUUAUUUUGGGCUCUCAGCUUAUCAGAUUCGAUCCGGCUACCCAACACGGGUGCUGGGAAACUUUCUGACAAAGAGCUACAACUACCUUAACCUGUUCCUGUUCCAGGGCUUCCGUCUGGUUCCCUUCCUGACGGAGCUGAGGGCAGUGAUGGACUGGGUGUGGACAGACACCACCUUAUCUCUGUCCUCGUGGAUCUGUGUGGAGGACGUCUACGCCCAUUGCUUUGUGUUAAAGUGCUGGAGAGAGUCUGAGAAGAGGUACCCUCAGCCUCGGGGUCAGAAGAAGAAGCGCGUGGUGAAGUAUGGGAUGGGUGGUCUGAUCGUUCUCCUCCUGAUCUGUAUCGUUUGGUUCCCACUUCUCUUCAUGUCCCUCAUCAAAUCUGUGGCCGGAGUUGUCAACAGACCUCUCGACGUGUCUCUUACCAUCACACUAGGAGGUUUCCAGCCGAUCUUCACAAUGAGCGCCCAGCAAAACCAGCUCAAAGAUCUCACUGAGGAGGAGUAUAGCUCCUUCGCCAGCACCUACAGCUACACACCUAGUGCCCUGCAGUUCCUGGAGGCGUACAGCUGUGAGGACAUUGUGGUGGCAGACCUGCAGGGCAGCAGUAACUCUCUGUGGACCAUCAGUCCUCCCAGUAGGCAGUACUUGAGCCAGGUGCUCAACCUGGACCACUUCCCUCUGACUAUGUCCUGGACUGUUCAGAGGAACCUGAGUCUGGGCGCAAAGGCAGAGCUGGCGUCGGGUAAAUAUGUGACCUACUUGGACAAUCAGACACGUCUGGAGCUCAUUGAGCUGCUCAAGGGAACAAGGUCACUUCCUGUGGUGAUACAGAAAGUGUUUCCCAGUUUUAUUCGAGCUCCUAGUGAUUCCAACGCCAAACCUAUUGAACAGCUUUACACAGAUGGCCACUACAAGGACAUUCUGCUUGCCCUUGAGAGGUCAACCAAUCAGAGCAGAGAGAUCCAGGAGUGGUGGGUCGUUGACCAACCGGCUGCCAGUCUAGUCCCUUUUGUGAGCGGGACUUUCCUGAACAGCAAGAGGGAGGCGGGGCUUCAGUUGUUCGUGUUUAAUGAUAAAGUCAGUCCUCCAAGUUUGGGAUUCCUCGCUGGAUACGGACACUCACCAGCAACCCCCUCUGCAGCAUCAUGGGCCUGUACGCCUCCGUAGUGUUGGUGAUCGGGAAGUUUGUCCGAGAGUUCUUCAGUGGGAUCAGCCACUCCAUCAUGUUCGAGGAGCUGCCAUGCGUCGACCGCAUCCUUAAACUCUGCACCGACAUCUUUCUGGUGAGAGAGACCGGUGAGCUGGAGUUGGAGGAAGAGCUUUACGCCAAACUGAUCUUCUUGUAUCGAUCGCCAGAGACUCUGAUCAAAUGGACCCGACGCUGACGUUAGCCCAUAAUGCAGCUGUUAAACAGGGGACCUUCAGAGAUCCCUCAGGAAAUGUAAACACUGAAACACACCUGCACCUACUCGGACCUUUUCGCAGAGGCUGCUAAUGCCCGAGUAUUACUCAGUGACAGCAGGAUGUCACACCCUGGACCAACUGGAAUAUUUAAUGCAGUCUUUUACUCCAGCAAAGUCCCUGAAAAGAGCUAUGUUGGUACAAAUUGUCCUGGAAGCACAAGCAACUGAAACAAGACAAAAGUGAGUGCGAAGAGUUUGUCAAAGCUAUUUUUCCAGGACUUUCAGGGUUAUGUUUUUGGGGUGUCAGCUGUGUUCACUAAUUAUUUAUUUUAUUUAUGCUAGCACUCCGCCAGCUGUAAUUAGUUGUACUCCAGGGAAAAAUCAUAAGCUAGCAUACAUGCUUCCCAUUCUGGCUCCAUAACAACUGGACAGAAGCGUGUUAUUGUUAGCUUAGCGUCACAGCGCUAACUGGACACCCGUUUAUUGUUGUGUGUGCACAUAUCACAGGAAAUAACUGAAAGCAGUCUGACGCUAACACUGGAAUCAUGGCACCAACGGAAUCCGAAAUCCAACCCAUAAUUCCAAUAGAACAAUGUUAAACCAUAAUGAAGUAUUGUUUAUUUGUGUCACUUUAUGUGAAAACAUCUUUUGAACAUGUGGAAAAAGUAAAUACAGGUGCUGGUCAUGUAAUUAGAAUAUCAUCACUAAUGUCAUUCAAAAAGUGAAACUUGUAUAUUACAUUCAUUCAUUACACACAGA
Betta splendens (Siamese fighting fish) is the source of this 9009-nucleotide RNA transcript. It is a transcript of the gene named piezo-type mechanosensitive ion channel component 2-like, with no coding region annotated. NCBI's taxonomy places the organism in Eukaryota, Metazoa, Chordata, Actinopteri, Anabantiformes, Osphronemidae. The record is from RefSeq and is a predicted model, not a curated record. The transcript has 57 exons.